GUAUAGCUCAUCGGAGCAUGUGCUUCACAUGCACAAGGACCUGGGUUCAAUCCCCAGUAC
This 60-nucleotide transfer RNA is filed under the name Camelus bactrianus (Bactrian camel). It matches the Rfam family "tRNA", at positions 5 to 66 of the family's 71-position model. Rfam says of the family: Transfer RNA (tRNA) molecules are approximately 80 nucleotides in length. Their secondary structure includes four short double-helical elements and three loops (D, anti-codon, and T loops). The record is from Rfam by way of RNAcentral. RNAcentral also lists the same sequence under 2 other names. Lineage: Eukaryota; Metazoa; Chordata; Mammalia; Artiodactyla; Camelidae.